AUUGCCCCAGUAACGGCGAGUGAAGCGGCAAAAGCUCAAAUUUGAAAUCUGGCUCUCUAUGGGAGUCCGAGUUGUAAUUUGUAGAGGGCGCUUUGGCGUCGGCAGCGGUCUAAGUUCCUUGGAACAGGACGUCACAGAGGGUGAGAAUCCCGUACGUGGUCGCCUGCCUUCGCCGUGUAAAGCCCCUUCGACGAGUCGAGUUGUUUGGGAAUGCAGCUCUAAAUGGGAGGUAAAUUUCUCCUAAAGCUAAAUACUGGCCAGAGACCGAUAGCGCACAAGUAGAGUGAUCGAAAGAUGAAAAGCACUUUGGAAAGAGAGUCAAAUAGCACGUGAAAUUGUUGAAAGGGAAGCGCUUGCAGCCAGACGUGCCCGCGGUUGUUCUCUUCCGUGGGCAGGCCAGCAUCAGUUUGGGCGGUCGGAUAAAGGCCUCUGUCACGUAUCUCCCUUCGGGGAGACCUUAUAGGGGAGGCGUAAUGCGAUCAGCCCGGACUGAGGUCCGCGCAUCUGCUAGGAUGCUGGCGUAAUGGCUGUAAGCGGCCCGUCUUGAAACACGGACCAAGGAGUCUAACAUCUAUGCGAGUGUUUGGGUGUCAAGCCCGGGCGCGCAAUGAAAGUGAACGGAGGUGGGAACCCUCUUGGGGGUGCACCAUCGACCGAUCCUGAAGUCUUCGGAUGGAUUUGAGUAAGAGCAUGGCUGUUGGGACCCGAAAGAUGGUGAACUAUGCUUGAAUAGGGUGAAGCCAGAGGAAACUCUGGUGGAGGCUCGCAGCGGUUCUGACGUGCAAAUCGAUCGUCAAAUUUGGGCAUAGGGGCGAAAGACUAAUCGAACUAUC
Molecule: ribosomal RNA, 833 nt
Filed under: Pseudocoleophoma bauhiniae
Lineage: Eukaryota; Fungi; Ascomycota; Dothideomycetes; Pleosporales; Dictyosporiaceae
Description: partial large subunit ribosomal RNA
Rfam family: Eukaryotic large subunit ribosomal RNA
Source: RNAcentral